Sorghum bicolor (sorghum) is the source of this 1321-nucleotide RNA transcript. RefSeq lists it as uncharacterized. The record is from RefSeq and is a predicted model, not a curated record. The transcript has 6 exons. NCBI's taxonomy places the organism in Eukaryota, Viridiplantae, Streptophyta, Magnoliopsida, Poales, Poaceae.
UUUUCGCCCGUCUGCCCAACCUGUGAUCCCGCAGCGCCGGCAGGUGGGGCCUCCUCCCCGUGCGCGAGCUCCCACAUCGUGCAAUCACGAUCGCGAGAUCACCUCCACCAAUCACGCUCGACCUUCCCUUCCCCGCGCUCGCGUCCAUGGAUCCGCCGCCCACCAAGGUAGGAUCCAAAUCGCCCUAUGGAUCCGACGGCGCCCCCUCACUAAUCCCCAUCCUUAGUGGCACCCCUUCCUUUUGCAUCAGGUCCUAGCGCCGAUGAUGCUACAGGUAGGGAGGGGAGGAGGUGGGGGAGCGCUGGUGAUGUGCAACACUGGCAGCGUGGGUGUCCACGACGAUGACAACGAGGAGGAGGACAGCGAUCGGGCAUCUCCGACUCAAAGUUGAGUGCGUGAACCAGGGCUUCCAUGACCUCGUGCUCGCCUUGUAAGUGGCUUACCGGCGGCGCGUUGCCUCCGCAGCAGCUCUUCACGGCGUGGUGCCAAGUAGCUCCAGCUCGGGUGGCUUCGGGUGCGGGUGGUCCACCGAGCGGCAGCCCCAGGACGAGAGAGCUGAGGUCGUCGUCAUGGGCCUGCGGCCCUCGGCUCGGCGGCGGCACCGACCUAGGUCAGGGCUUCGCUCCCUUCAUUGGAUCUCCUCGUCUACCGAUCCCAUCGUAUGUAUUUUGUUGUGUGGGUUAUUAGGAGUUCUGGGAUUCUGGAUCUAAUUGCCUCUGGUUGCUGGGUGGGGUGGAUUCGAACCCGGAGAACACGGUAGGCGUGAUGACGAUGGUCGGGAUUCCGGGAAGGGCGUCCGCGUGCUUGUCACUCCCACCAGCGACCUCGUGAAGAUUCUCGCUUGUAUGCAAGCAUGCUUGACGCCCAACUAUGCAUCGGCAUCGCCGUUGAGCUCAAUUGUCAGAGCAUUGUUCCUGGGAGGCAAAGCACCAUGUGUGCAGUUUUAGUUCAUGGAAAGAUGCCAUAUGUUAACUCUCAUAGUGAUGGAGCACCCAGCAACUUUUGUGGAUUGUAAAUGUUCACACGAAGAAUGGAUGGCCUUCGCAUGUGCAUUGAUGAUGGCUGUGUUGUCAGUAACUUUAAUUGUUGCUCAGGCAUUGAGGAAGGAGCCGUUGACGGUUUAUGGUGAUGCAAAUCAAAACAUGAGUUUCUAAUAAUAUGUUCUCAUCUGGUAGAUAAUAUUAUUGAGGAAGGAGCCGUUGACAGUUUUAUUUUAUUGAGGAAGGAGCCGUUGACGAGCAUUUCCCACAUAAUAUACAUGGUUAUAUACAAUUGAGUGUGACUUAAAUUAUCAAAAAAUAUCGUUGUUUGGUUGUUUUUA